Oncorhynchus tshawytscha (Chinook salmon) is the source of this 3420-nucleotide long non-coding RNA. Lineage: Eukaryota; Metazoa; Chordata; Actinopteri; Salmoniformes; Salmonidae. The record is from Ensembl.
GUCUUUCUGGGUAAGUCUCUAAGAGUGAUUACAGCUGUGAGUCUUUCUGGGUAAGUCUCUAAGAGUGAUUACAGCUGUGAGUCUUUCUGGGUAAGUCUCUAAGAGUGAUUACAGCUGUGAGUCUUUCUGGGUAAGUCUCUAAGAGCUUUGCACACCUGGAUUGUACAAUAUUUGCCCAUUAUUCUUUAAACAAUUCUUCAAGCUCUGUCAAGUUGAUUGUUGAUCAUUAUUAGAUAACCAUAUUCAAGUCUUUCCAUAGAUCUUCAAGCCGAUUUAAGUCAAAACUGUAACUAGACCACUCAGGAAUAUUCAAUAUCUUCUUGGUAAGUAACUAAAGUGUAGAUUUGGCCUUGUUUUAGGUUAUUGUCCUUCUGAAAGGCGAAUUCAUCUCCUCAUUGUCUAUUGGAACACAGACUGAACCAGACUUUCCUCUAGGAUUUUGGCUGUGCUUAUAGCUGUCUACCGUUUAUUUUUAUCCUAAUAACUCCCUAGUCCUUGCCAAUGACAAGCAUACCCAUAACAUGAUGCAGCCACCGCCAUGCUUGAAAAUAUGAAGUGGUACUGAGUGAUGUGUUGUGUUGGAUUUGCCCCAAACAAAACGCUUUAUUCAGGACAAAAAGUUAAUUUCUUUGCCGAAAUGUUUUCAGUAUUACUUAAGUGCCUUGUUGCAAACAGGAUGCAUGUUUUGGAGUAUUUUUAUUCUGUACAGGCUUUUUUAAAUCUGUCAUUUAGGUUAGUAUUAUGGAGUAACUAUGGAGUAACUACAAUGUUUAUCCAUCCUCAGUUGUUUUCUCCUAUCACAGUCAUUACACUCUGUAACUGUUUUAAGGUCACCAUUGGCUUCAUGGUGAAAAUCCUGAGCGGUUUCCUUCCUCUCCGGCAACUGAGUUAGGAAGGACGUCUGUAUCUUUGUAGCGACUGGGUGUAUUGAUACACCAUCCAAAGCCUAAUUAUAACUUCACCUUGCUCAAAGGGAUAUUACACAUUUUACCCAUCUACCAACCGGUGCCCUUCUUUGCGAGGCAUUGAAAAAUCUCCUUGGUCUUUGUGGUUGAAUAUGUGUUUGAAAUUCACUGCUCGAUUGAGGGACCUUACAAUUAUCUGUAUGUGUUGGGGUACAGAGAUGAGGUAGUCAUUUAAAAAUCAUGUUAACCAAUAUUAUUGAACACGGAAUGAGUCCAUGCAACUUAUUAUGAGAUUUGUUAAGCACACUUUUACUCCUGAACUUAUUUAGGCUUACCAUAAAGGGGUUGAAUACUUAUUGACUCAAGACAUUUCAGCUUAAAAUGUUUUAUUAAUAAAUAAAAAAUUAGACUAACAAAAUUCCACUUUGACAUUAUGGGGUAUUGCGUGUAGAUCAGGUAUUGUGUAUUACAUUGUAAUUCAGACUGUAAACCAUUUAAAAUUCAGACUGUAAACCAUUUUAAAAUCAGACUGUAAACCAUUUUAAAAUCAGACUGUACACCAUUUUAAAAUCAGACUGUACACCAUUUUAAAAUCAGACUGUAAACCAUUUUAAAUUCAGACUGUAAACCAUUUUAAAAUCAGACUGUAAACCAUUUUAAAUUCAGUCUGUAAACCAUUUUAAAUUCAGGCUGUAACAACACAAUGUGGGAGAAGUUAAAAAGGUGUGAAUCCUUUCUGAAGGCCACUGUACAUACAACCGUUGCUAUGGGACCAAGAACAUUGCUACAGUACUGUGUUGUUUAUAGCACACUUAUUUAUACUGUAUCACACUGUAGAUAUAUGCCACUCAGAAAGCAUGCAGGACAUUAUUAAGGUCAUUACGGUAAGAUUAUAAAUUAACCAUAUGAAAUAAAGAUGAGAGGAAUAUUAAAACAGGGAUUUUACCACUGAGGAAGUCACGUGGUCUGUAUGACUAAUUUGGACUAGAUAUAUACCUUAUUCAUCACUGACUCCAUCCAAUCUACGUCCCACAUAAAGUAUUCUAUUGUGGACCCUUCAAUUUCUACCCUACUCAGUGAUAUUCUGAUAUAACAAUGUAAUAUUUAAGUCCGGAACAGACUAUCCUAAGGCUUUGUGAACUUUUGAGCGCUGUGCUUUAAUAUGCAAAAAACAGGUUACUAUACAAUACAUUGUCCUGACUGACACUGCUGUAUCCAUCACUGAUAUCCAUUCACAUCUUAAUAACUGCCAAAUACAUUACACUACAUUUUGUUUGGUCUGGAAAUGACUUUUGUAAAACUGUGUUGUCUGUCACCUUAAAAAAAAAAAAGACUUGAAAAGUGAUUAAAGAUCCAGGGUGAAUGUCGGAUGUGUUGUUGUGGUUAUAGUGAGCUGUUUGUCAAAUGGCAUCCUACUCGUCAUACUGUCUAGUGCACUACUUUUGACCAGGGCCCAUGAGCUCAGGGUCCAUAGGGUUAGGGCCCAUAGAGGUCAGGGCCCAUAGAGGUCAGGGCCCAUAGGGUUAGGGCCCAUAGAGGUCAGGGCCCAUAGGGUUAGGGCCCAUAGAAGUCAGGGCCCAUAGAGGUCAGGGCCCAUAGAGGUCAGGGCCCAUAGAGGUUAGGGCCCAUAGAGGGCAGGGCCCAUAGGGUUAGGGCCCAUAGAGGUCAGGGCCCAUAGGGUUAGGGCCCAUAGAGGUCAGGGCCCAUAGAGGUCAGGGCCCAUAGGGUUAGGGCCCAUAGAGGUCAGGGCCCAUAGAGGUCAGAGCCCAUAGAGGUCAGGGCCCAUAGGGUUAGGGCCCAUAGGGUUAGGGCCCAUAGAGGUCAGGGCCCAUAGGGUUAGGGCCCAUAGGGUUAGGGCCCAUAGAGGUCAGGGCCCAUAGGGUUAGGGCCCAUAGAGGUCAGGGCCCAUAGGGUUAGGGCCCAUAGAGCUCAGGGCCCAUAGGGUUAGGGCCCAUAGGGUUCAGGUCAAAAGUAGUGCACUACAUGGGGAAUAAGUAGGGUGCCACCUGGGGGACACAAUUCAUGUUGAAGUAGAUGGUUUCCUUCAGAGCUCUGGUCCUGUAUCUCUCCUUAGCCCGAAAAGCAACUCUGUUUUCUAUUGAAGUUUGUAAAAUAAGCGCUUUGAAAUAAAAUAACAAAUGAUAUCUCAUACUCUAGCCUGCUCUGGAAAUGUUUAAAAAUGCAAUUAUCGAUGAAUGAAAGCUUGCAUUACAUUACCCCAUUGAUUAAAGAUUAUAUUACUGAGAAUAGAUUUUUUCAUGUCAAUUGACUUCUUAACUUCGCAUGUUUCCCAAAUGGCACCCUAUUCUCUACAUAGGGCACUACUUUUGACUAGAGCACUAUGGCCCCUGGUUAAAAGUAGUGCACUUUGGGAAUAGGGUGCCAUUUGGGUUGCUGCCCAUUAAAUAAGCCUUGUGUUUUGAUUGUGUAACUGAAGGUCAGGGCUGUAGUUGAUCCCUGGACUAGUGGGUCUCAUCUUUACAAGCAUUUUGCUACACUCGCAAUAAUCAUUUGC